Long non-coding RNA from Peromyscus eremicus (cactus mouse), 594 nucleotides. RefSeq lists it as uncharacterized. The transcript has 4 exons. The record is from RefSeq and is a predicted model, not a curated record. Lineage: Eukaryota; Metazoa; Chordata; Mammalia; Rodentia; Cricetidae.
CCAUCCUCUUGUAUAGGCGCGCACAGGGGGCCAUUCUGCCCUGCACGGAUGUACCCCAAUUUCUCUCUUUCAGGAAAAUUUGGUCAGAACUUUGCAUACACAAUUUCUUCUGGAAAAUACAUACAUUAAUCCCGGGGUUGCAGACAUCUUUCUGUCCCCGUUUGUCACCUCCCCAAGUCUACUGUGUUCUGUGGAUGAAGCCACUGGCAUGCUACAGAAGAUGCCCACGAAGUCAUAGCAGCAGGAGUAGCAAGCCAGAACCAAAGCUCACAUCAGCCUCUGGAUUUCCGGGCCAUGUUAGGGAGAUGCUGUUUACCGGCUGGGAUUGACCACUGUAUGAAGAGAGUAUGCCUCCUUCAUCAUCAUUACUUGCAAGUUAACUAAGAGGUAAAAAUCCAUCUCAAAAUGGUUAGGACUCAAGAACCAGAUGUGGCAGUACAUGCAUGUCAUCUCAAUGUGUGGGCUUGAGGCCAGCCUGUGCUGCAUAACAAAAGUCUAACAUGGAGUCCACAGUGUGUGUGUGUAUGUGUGAUUUGCUUCAUUCAUUUUAUUCCGCUAUAAGGACCAAAAUUAUUUCAUGUGCAAAAAGGAUGU